AUUCUUUUGUGGCUCAUAAGCUUGGGAUUUUCACACUAAACAUUUUUAACUCAUGAGGUUGGGACUUCACAUUAAUCUCUAAUCUUUGAGAUUGCCUCCCUCAAACCUUGCUACAGUAUUGGCACAUUACCCAUCUCACA
This is a small nucleolar RNA of Homo sapiens (human), 140 nucleotides long. It matches the Rfam family "Small nucleolar RNA U13". NCBI's taxonomy places the organism in Eukaryota, Metazoa, Chordata, Mammalia, Primates, Hominidae. The record is from Rfam.